UACGAAGGGGGCUAGCGUUGUUCGGAUUUACUGGGCGUAAAGCGCACGUAGGCGGAUCGUUAAGUCGGGGGUGAAAUCCUGGAGCUCAACUCCAGAACUGCCUUCGAUACUGGCGAUCUUGAGUCCGGAAGAGGUGAGUGGAACUCCUAGUGUAGAGGUGGAAUUCGUAGAUAUUAGGAAGAACACCAGUGGCGAAGGCGGCUCACUGGUCCGGUACUGACGCUGGGGUGCGAAAGCAUGGGGAGCGAACAGG
RNAcentral lists this ribosomal RNA (253 nucleotides) under uncultured bacterium. Its description in RNAcentral is "partial 16S ribosomal RNA". It matches the Rfam family "Bacterial small subunit ribosomal RNA", at positions 524 to 776 of the family's 1533-position model. The record is from RNAcentral.